UACAUAACAUUGUGGUGUUAUCAGCACACAGCACAUGAAGAACAGAGGCUCAUGAAAUGCUGUCCAGAGCUCUUGCAAGCUAAAGUUAAAACUGUACUGCUGCUAAAAAGGAAAUGGCUGUAUCAGGCCCAUGGCGAUGAACAACAUUCUUCCAGGAUGGACCUUUGGAUGUCAUGUUGCAAAGUGGUGCUGAAGAGAAGAGCAGUUCUUUCCGGAGCAGGGGAUACCUUCUCUGAAGACUAGCACAAUGUCUCUAUCAUAACAGGGUGAAGAGCAGAUGGUCAAGCAUUAGUUGAUUCAUUGAAGCCUCAAGAACUGUGGACAGAGUUCUGAUUUUCUGAAGUUGCCCAAUUUUAAGGACUUACAAAGGAUGUGAAAUAUUGGAAUGAAAUGGACAAUCAGCAGAUGAUUUCACCCAUUGGGAAAUAUCAAGGUUUUCUCUAAACAUUUCUUUUCUCAAAUUGCUGGAUCAAUAAAGAAAUUAAAUAAGUAUUGAAUAAUUAAGUCCAUUAUGAAAUGUUUUGGACUUUGUGCAAUGAACAG
This is a long non-coding RNA of Carcharodon carcharias (great white shark), 543 nucleotides long. RefSeq lists it as uncharacterized. The transcript has 2 exons. The record is from RefSeq and is a predicted model, not a curated record. NCBI's taxonomy places the organism in Eukaryota, Metazoa, Chordata, Chondrichthyes, Lamniformes, Lamnidae.